This 303-nucleotide ribosomal RNA is filed under the name uncultured bacterium. RNAcentral describes it as "partial 16S ribosomal RNA". It matches the Rfam family "Bacterial small subunit ribosomal RNA", at positions 507 to 809 of the family's 1533-position model. The record is from RNAcentral.
AGCAGUCGCCACGGUAAUACGUAGGGUGCAAGCGUUAAUCGGAAUUACUGGGCGUAAAGCGUGCGCAGGCGGUUAUAUAAGACAGAUGUGAAAUCCCCGGGCUCAACCUGGGAACUGCAUUUGUGACUGUAUAGCUAGAGUACGGCAGAGGGGGAUGGAAUUCCGCGUGUAGCAGUGAAAUGCGUAGAUAUGCGGAGGAACACCGAUGGCGAAGGCAAUCCCCUGGGCCUGUACUGACGCUCAUGCACGAAAGCGUGGGGAGCAAACAGGAUUAGAUACCCCUGUAGUCCCUGUCUCUUAUAA